RNAcentral lists this ribosomal RNA (568 nucleotides) under uncultured Glomeromycotina. RNAcentral describes it as "SSU rRNA". It matches the Rfam family "Eukaryotic small subunit ribosomal RNA", at positions 548 to 1114 of the family's 1831-position model. Lineage: Eukaryota; Fungi; Glomeromycota. The record is from RNAcentral.
UUGGAGGGCAAGUCUGGUGCCAGCAGCCGCGGUAAUUCCAGCUCCAAUAGCGUAUAUUAAAGUUGUUGCAGUUAAAAAGCUCGUAGUUGAAUUUCGGGAUUGACGUGAUGGUCAUGCCUUAAGGGGUAUGAACUGUCACUGUUGAUUUCUCACCUUCUGGAGAAACUUGAUGUCCUUUAUUGGGUGUCUUGCGGAUCCAGGACCUUUACCUUGAAAAAAUUAGAGUGUUUAAAGCAGGCAUUUUUGCUCGAAUACAUUAGCAUGGAAUAAUAGAAUAGGACGGCAUGGUUCUAUUUUGUUGGUUUCUAGGAUCACCGUAAUGAUUAAUAGGGAUAGUUGGGGGCAUUAGUAUUCAAUUGUCAGAGGUGAAAUUCUUGGAUUUAUUGAAGACUAACUACUGCGAAAGCAUUUGCCAAGGAUGUUUUCAUUAAUCAAGAACGAAAGUUAGAGGUUCGAAGGCGAUCAGAUACCGCCCUAGUUCUAACCAUAAACGAUGCCAACCAGCGAUCAGCAGAGUUCGAAAAAUGACUCGGCUGGCAGCUUCUGGGAAACCAAAGUGUUUGGGUUC